Dinoponera quadriceps is the source of this 760-nucleotide RNA transcript. It is a transcript of the gene named coiled-coil domain-containing protein 12, with no coding region annotated. The record is from RefSeq and is a predicted model, not a curated record. NCBI's taxonomy places the organism in Eukaryota, Metazoa, Arthropoda, Insecta, Hymenoptera, Formicidae. The transcript has 4 exons.
CUCGAGAGUUCGUUCAAAAAUGACCGAGGAGAAGAUCGGUUCUUUGGAAGAGGAAGCUCUGAAGAGGAAAGAACGGUUACAGGCACUCAAGAGGAAAAACGAAGAGAGCAAGGAAAGCAAGAGUGAUGGAGCUGAGAAUUUGCCAAAGCCGAAAUUCCGAAGCUACAAGCCACAGGACGAAAGCCUGAAGAACAAUGUGAUAGAUGACGCGAAACCAGGCGAUGUAGAAGCUGUGGUGCAAGAACAAUUGGACGCAGCGAGCAGCAAAGUGGUCAUUGAGGAACUAAAUAUCAGUAAUCUGGCACCGAGGAAACCAGACUGGGAUUUGAAACGAGAUAUAGCCAAGAAAUUGGAGAUUUUAGAGAGAAGAACGCAGAAGGCGAUAGCAGAGGAAGUAAGAGCACGUCUCAAACAGGGCCAACAGGAUCUGGCGGCUUAUGUGAACGCACCUGAUAAAGGAUAAGUGUGCCGUUAUCAAUGAAUAUGUAUAUAUUGUAAUAAAUUACAUACUUUUAUAAAAUAUAUUUGCGUCCUGGUGUUGCGAUCUUGGAUCGUUUUACAACAACAUCGGACACGCACACACAACAUCAAGAUGCUAUUAUCGAACUGUUAAAAAUCCAAGUAAUCACAAAAAACGUAUUCUGAUAUCGGUUAAAUGCGAUCCUCAUGGAGAACAUGAGAAUGUGCAUCGGAGCAUUCGCUCAAUUGAACAUCUUAAUCCUCGAACGAUAUGGCAAGAUUAAACGUAAUUCCCAUUUUA